AGAACGAACGCUGGCGGCAUGCCUAACACAUGCAAGUCGAACGAAGGCUUCGGCCUUAGUGGCGCACGGGUGAGUAACGCGUGGGAAACUGCCUAUCGGUGGGGAAUAACGACGGGAAACUGUCGCUAAUACCGCAUACGCCCUUCGGGGGAAAGAUUUAUCGCCGAUAGAUGUGCCCGCGUACGAUUAGCUAGUUGGUGAGGUAAUGGCUCACCAAGGCUACGAUCGUUAGCUGGUCUGAGAGGAUGAUCAGCCACACUGGGACUGAGACACGGCCCAGACUCCUACGGGAGGCAGCAGUGGGGAAUAUUGGACAAUGGGCGAAAGCCUGAUCCAGCAAUGCCGCGUGAGUGAUGAAGGCCUUAGGGUUGUAAAGCUCUUUCGGGUGGGACGAUGAUGACGGUACCACCAGAAGAAGCCCCGGCUAACUUCGUGCCAGCAGCCGC
This 446-nucleotide ribosomal RNA is filed under the name uncultured bacterium. RNAcentral's name for it is "SSU rRNA". It matches the Rfam family "Bacterial small subunit ribosomal RNA", at positions 26 to 518 of the family's 1533-position model. The record is from RNAcentral.